UUGUUGAAUGGAUGAAUGG
RNAcentral lists this non-coding RNA (19 nucleotides) under Mus musculus (house mouse). RNAcentral also lists the same sequence under 1 other name. The record is from RNAcentral. Lineage: Eukaryota; Metazoa; Chordata; Mammalia; Rodentia; Muridae.